Molecule: ribosomal RNA, 494 nt
Filed under: uncultured bacterium
Lineage: Bacteria
Description: partial 16S ribosomal RNA
Rfam family: Bacterial small subunit ribosomal RNA
Source: RNAcentral
GACGAACGCUGGCGGCGCGCUUAACACAUGCAAGUCGAACGGAAAGGCCUGCUUUCCCUUGUGGAUUGCGGGUACUCGAGUGGCGAACGGGUGAGUAACACGUGAGUGAUCUGCCCCCAACUUGGGUAUAAGCCUGGGAAACUGGGUCUAAUUCCCGAUAGGACUGCAGGGUGGUGCCUGUGGUGGAAAACGAUUUUCUAGUGGUUGGGGAUGAGCUCGCGGCCUAUCAGCUUGUUGGUGGGGUAAUGGCCUACCAAGGCGGCGACGGGUAGCCGGCCUGGGAGGGUGGACGGCCACAUUGGGACUGAGAUACGGCGCAGACGCCUACGGGAGGCAGCAGUGGGGAAUAUUGCACAAUGGGCGGAAGCCUGAUGCAGCGACGCCGCGUGGGGGAUGACGGCCUUCGGGUUGUAAACUCCUUUCGACCGCGAGGAAGCCACCUGGUUGGAAGGGUGGUGACGGUAGUGGUAGAAGAAGCACCGGCUAACUACGUG